GCCAAUUCAAGUGCCAAAAUAUAUGCUUUUGUAAACAGCACUGAAAGGUCUUAGUUCAACUAGACAGCAGAGCAGUGGCCAUGGAAGUUGGAAUCUGCCAAGGAGUGUGUAACAAUUGACCUGCUGAAUGAACUAGCCAAGAAAACAGGCGGGGAUUAAGCUUUUUUACUUUUACUUGGC
RNAcentral lists this non-coding RNA (180 nucleotides) under Rhizoclosmatium globosum. RNAcentral describes it as "Eukaryotic large subunit ribosomal RNA". It matches the Rfam family "Eukaryotic large subunit ribosomal RNA", at positions 1174 to 1352 of the family's 3401-position model. Lineage: Eukaryota; Fungi; Chytridiomycota; Chytridiomycetes; Chytridiales; Chytriomycetaceae. The record is from Rfam by way of RNAcentral.